Molecule: long non-coding RNA, 649 nt
Organism: Daphnia pulicaria
Lineage: Eukaryota; Metazoa; Arthropoda; Branchiopoda; Diplostraca; Daphniidae
Exons: 3
Source: RefSeq, a predicted model, not a curated record
UAUUUCUAUCAAAUUCUUUACAAGAUGGCGCUAAUAGAAUAAUAGAAACAAAAGGGUCGUCUGCUUACGUUUUGAUUCCAAGUUUCGAAAAAGAGACUCAAGUUCAAGAUUACAAAAGAAAACGGGACGAUCACAUUUUGGGAAACGUGCACGUGGCUGCACACAAAAUAACACAUAAAAUAAGAAAAAUGUGGUCGUCGUGUCAACUCUGGUGUCGUGGCUCUUUAAAUAGAAUCGCUUCAUACACACUCCAUGCUGUUUAGCAGAUUUGAGGCCUGAGUCAGUCAUCAUAAUAACAACAUGAUAUGCAACUUUUGCUGGUGCUGCUAUUGUCCUGUCAAUCAGCAACAAUCUCAGUCUCAUCGCUUGGACAAACAGCAUCCCUGUUGAUUGGGGAUUCUACCCAUGGCCGAGCUACGUAUCUCUUCCUUCCUUCCCCUUUCUUUAAAUGUCCUCGUGUACACUUCAUGUGAGUGUGGGUGUAUUCACGAGGACCCCCUUUUCUCCCUAUCCCGUCUAGUGGACUCAACUUUUCAGCGGAUGGAUGGAUCACUUGUGGAUGGAUGCCUGGCUGCAUUUCCCAGACAUCAAGGUAGGAAACAUUUAUCUCUUUUUUUCCUACUACUCCGACUAUUGGGUAGCGUUGAUU